This is a non-coding RNA of Lonchura striata (white-rumped munia), 628 nucleotides long. Lineage: Eukaryota; Metazoa; Chordata; Aves; Passeriformes; Estrildidae. The record is from RefSeq and is a predicted model, not a curated record.
CUUGCAGAGCCCGCCCCGCUGCACGGCCGGGGAGCCCUUCGGUGUGCUCGAUUUGUGUUUCUUUGGACUAACAAAAGUGUAUUUUCCUCGGAAUUUCUGCCACCAAAUCGCCCAGUUUCCCCGGUGAGGGGGGAGAAGAGCAGGAGGGAGCAAUGUGAUGAAUCUAAAUGUCACUUCCCACUCCGGCCAGAAAUGUGUUUGGAACCUACGGAGGGACAAAGUGUCCUUGGAUCCAUGGUGCAUGCACAGCUGGUCUGCAAUCUGCCAUCUUCCUGGCUGUUGAUGUCCCAGACACCGAUGUGACACACUUCCAGGUAGCAAGACUAGCAUAGAAGGCCAGCACUGAGCAGCCAGGAGCACGGAGCAGCAGACAUCCAGCUGUAUAGAGGUGGUAAGUAAAGAGAAACCUGCUGGGGUUUGGGUUUGCUCAAACUGCAAUGAGACAUGUACAAGGAAACUUAAUAGCUUAAAUUACUCAAAGCUGUUGAGAAAGGGGCCUGGUGAUCAAUAAAGUGAACGUCUGAGUAAUUCUAAUAUUAAUUGUCCAAAUCUAAGGCAUGGUCUUCUUAUUAAAAAAUUUAUUAGGAUAAAAAAAUAAGAAAAAAAAUUAAAAUAAAUAGAACCGAAA